Bos taurus (domestic cattle) is the source of this 388-nucleotide long non-coding RNA. NCBI's taxonomy places the organism in Eukaryota, Metazoa, Chordata, Mammalia, Artiodactyla, Bovidae. The record is from Ensembl.
AGGGAACAAACGCACAGGAGGCCGUGGCACCCAGAACAAUUCUGAUACUCAGAAAGUACCUAGAAAUUGCUUGCUGACACUCUAAGUCAUCUGUAAAGCAGAAGGAUGCCACAAAGGACCACGAUAAAACCAGACUGAAACAGCUAGAUCCAAGAUGGUGGAUAAAGUAAGCUAAAGGGCUUCCCUGGUGGCUCAGUGGUAAAGAAUCAGCCUGCCAAUACAGGAAACACGGGUUCAGUUCCUGGGCCAGGAAGAUCCCACAUGCAACAGAGCAACUACUGAAGCUCCGUUGCCACAAUUACUGAAGCCCAAGCACCCUAGAGCCAGUUCUCCACAAGAGAAGCCGCAGCAAUGAGAAGCCCGUGCACUGCAACUAGAGAGGAGCCCC